GGCUGUUUUGUUUUUUGCCUUUGAAUAGAUGCAAGGAGAAGUAAGCCCCAGUCCUUCCCUUAUUGAUAGAACCAUCAGGAUGAGAAAGGAAACAGAAUCUAGGAAAGUGGUUUUAGCCUGGGGACUUCUAAAUGUAUCCAUGGCUGGAAUGAUAUAUACUGAAAUGACUGGAAAGUUAAUUAGUACAUAUUAUAAUGUGACAUACUGGCCCCUCUGGUAUAUUGAACUCGCCCUCGCCUCACUCUUCAGUCUUAAUGCCUUGUUUGAUUUUUGGAGAUACUUCAAAUAUACUGUAGCACCUACAAGUCUGGUAGUUAGCCCUGGACAGCAAACCUUGUUAGGGCUGAAACCAGCUGUGGUGCAGACCACACCUCCCCGUGAUUUGGCGGCCACCCAAAUCUCUCCGUCCCCUCCUUCCCCUUCGAUUCAAGGUCAGAGUGUGUUGAGUUAUAGCCCAUCGCGCUCGCCCAGUACCAGUCCCAAGUUUGCCACCAGCUGCAUGACUGGGUAUAGUCCUCAACUGCAAGGCCUGUCGUCAGGAGGCCUUGGCUCGUACAGCCCUGCUGUGACUUACUCGCCUGUCAGUGGCUAUAGUAAGUUGGCGAGCUUUAGUCUGUCUCCUUCUUCUCCCUACCCUACCACCGUGGGCCCUGUGGAGAGCAGUGGAU
Molecule: long non-coding RNA, 668 nt
Filed under: Rattus norvegicus (Norway rat)
Lineage: Eukaryota; Metazoa; Chordata; Mammalia; Rodentia; Muridae
Description: long non-coding RNA NONRATT021304
Source: RNAcentral